CUCAGGGUGGGGGGGUCCCUCAGCCAGGAUUGCGAGGGGGCACAGGCCCGGCCGAGGGACCUCAUUGAUGCACA
RNAcentral lists this microRNA precursor (74 nucleotides) under Myotis lucifugus (little brown bat). RNAcentral's name for it is "mir-9193 microRNA precursor family". It matches the Rfam family "mir-9193 microRNA precursor family". Lineage: Eukaryota; Metazoa; Chordata; Mammalia; Chiroptera; Vespertilionidae. The record is from Rfam by way of RNAcentral.